AGGAUGAACGCUGGCGGCGUGCUUAACACAUGCAAGUCACGGGGGCCCAGCAAUGGGCAACCGGCGAACGGGUGCGUAACACGUGAGCAAUCUACCGAAAUGAGGGGGAUAGCCGGCCCAACGGCCGGGUAAUACCGCAUACGCUCGAGACCAGGCAUUUGGACUCGAGGAAACCUCCGGGGCAUUUCGAGGAGCUCGCGGCCUAUCAGCUAGUUGGUGAGGUAACGGCUCACCAAGGCGACGACGGGUAG
RNAcentral lists this ribosomal RNA (251 nucleotides) under uncultured soil bacterium. Its description in RNAcentral is "partial 16S ribosomal RNA". It matches the Rfam family "Bacterial small subunit ribosomal RNA", at positions 26 to 286 of the family's 1533-position model. The record is from RNAcentral.